RNAcentral lists this ribosomal RNA (585 nucleotides) under uncultured archaeon. RNAcentral describes it as "bacterial SSU rRNA". It matches the Rfam family "Archaeal small subunit ribosomal RNA", at positions 35 to 626 of the family's 1478-position model. The record is from RNAcentral.
GGGGUUCGAUUAAGCCAUGCGAGUUGAGAGGGUUUAGACCCUCGGCGGACUGCUCAGUAACACGUGGAUAACCUGCCCUAAGGUGGAGGAUAACCCCGGGAAACUGGGGAUAAUACUCCAUAGAUCAGAGUAACUGGAAUGUUUUCUGGUCGAAAGUUCCGGCGCCUUAGGGAUGGAUCUGCGGCCGAUUAGGUAGUUGUUGGGGUAACGGACCAACAAGCCAGUCAUCGGUACGGGUUGUGGGAGCAAGAGCCCGGAGAUGGAAUCUGAGACACGAUUCCAGGCCCUACGGGGCGCAGCAGGCGCGAAAACUUUACAAUGCAGGAAACUGUGAUAAGGGAACCCCGAGUGCUCGUACACGCGAGCUGUCCAGGUGUGUAAAAAGCAUCUGAAGAAAGGGCCGGGCAAGACCGGUGCCAGCCGCCGCGGUAAUACCGGCGGCUCGAGUGGUGGCCACUAUUAUUGGGCUUAAAGCGUUCGUAGCUGGACUCUUAAGUCUCCUGGGAAAUCCGCCGGCUCAACCGGCGGGCGUCCAGGAGAUACUGGGAGUCUUGGAACCGGAAGAGGUAAGAGGUACUUCGGGGU